UCUUCGAUAGUAUAGUGGCUAGUAUAUUGCCUUGUCAGGUGCCCUCACACGGCUCCAACGCGGCAGAGACCCGGGUUCAAUUCCCGGUCGAAGAG
Non-coding RNA from Rhodotorula diobovata, 95 nucleotides. Lineage: Eukaryota; Fungi; Basidiomycota; Microbotryomycetes; Sporidiobolales; Sporidiobolaceae. The record is from the annotation of a GenBank genome assembly.